UAAAGCUAAGCAAAUAGCACACUAGACCACACAAUACUGUAACUCUGACUCAGACUAUUUAAAACUUACUUGUUUAAGCUAAAUAAUAUCUCUCAACAAGCAAAAUCUCCAGUACUGGGCAAGUGAGGUGCCAGAGCAGAAGGUUCCUGCUGGAGCCAUGAUACAAAUGUCUGAACAGUAAGCUUCCUGGCAACGAGGAGGAGACCAAGUCCAAAGGGGGAAGUUCGCAGGGUCAGCACGUGAAGCUUCAAAGAUCUGGCCUGGCCAGUUGCCUAAAUUCCCACUAAAUUAAGGGAAGAACCACCUCUUAAGUGGCAGGCCGAUAGGAAAUGAUUUCCCCAUGGGACAGAGCUAGAGGCCAGAGUGAACUUUCCACACCAUUUCAUAGCUAUCCAGGCUAAGAACAGGCAUCAAGCUACAGCAAGGUUCAACAGGAGGUGUACUUAAAUCAUGGAAAAAGCAAGAUGUGUAUCUGCUGGGUGCCAAUAUUCAAAUAACACUCAGAACAAUCUCUGCUGUGCAAUGUACAUAGACACGGCCUUAAUUUUUUAAUCCCUCAUCUGCACUCUCUAGUACACAAGGCUUUGUUACACAAGAACCUGUCAACUUUCUCUUUGGACUGUACCAUCCCACCAUCUGCAGAUGGGACUGGGUUGCAUCAAGGCUGCCUUGUGCUCAGGUAUCCC
Pezoporus flaviventris is the source of this 686-nucleotide long non-coding RNA. RefSeq lists it as uncharacterized. The record is from RefSeq and is a predicted model, not a curated record. Lineage: Eukaryota; Metazoa; Chordata; Aves; Psittaciformes; Psittacidae. The transcript is spliced from 4 exons.